ACGAACGCUGGCGGCGUGGAUUAGGCAUGCAAGUCGAACGGAACUUCUAGCUUUUUCGGAAGUUUAGUGGCGAAAGGGUGAGUAACACGUGGGUUACCUGCCCUAGGGUUCGGGAUAACCUGUCGAAAGACGGGCUAAUACCGGAUACGUCCUGUAUCUUUCGAGAUACAGGGGAAAGAUGGGGAUCCGUAAGGACCUAUCACCCUUGGAUGGGCCCGCGGCCUAUCAGCUAGUUGGUGAGGUAAUGGCUCACCAAGGCUAAGACGGGUAGCUGGUCUGAGAGGAUGGUCAGCCACACUGGAACUGAGACACUGUCCAGACACCUACGGGUGGCUGCAGUCGAGAAUCUUUCGCAAUGGGGGAAACCCUGACGACGCGACGCCGCGUGGAGGAUGAAGGCCUUCGGGUUGUAAACUCCUUUUAUAUGUCAAGAAAAUGACGGUAGCAUAUGAAUAAGCACCGGCUAACUCCGU
This 473-nucleotide ribosomal RNA is filed under the name uncultured bacterium. RNAcentral's name for it is "bacterial SSU rRNA". It matches the Rfam family "Bacterial small subunit ribosomal RNA", at positions 29 to 506 of the family's 1533-position model. The record is from RNAcentral.